Molecule: ribosomal RNA, 455 nt
Filed under: uncultured organism
Description: bacterial SSU rRNA
Rfam family: Bacterial small subunit ribosomal RNA
Source: RNAcentral
UGCAGUCGACGGAAGGCCCUGCUUGCAGGGUACUCGAGUGGCGAACGGGUGAGUAACACGUGGGUGAUCUGCCCUGCACUUCGGGAUAAGCUUGGGAAACUGGGUCUAAUACCGGAUAGGAACCAUCUUUAGUGUGGUGGUUGGAAAGUUUUUUCGGUGUAGGAUGAGCUCGCGGCCUAUCAGCUUGUUGGUGGGGUAAUGGCCUACCAAGGCGGCGACGGGUAGCCGGCCUGAGAGGGUGUACGGCCACAUUGGGACUGAGAUACGGCCCAGACUCCUACGGGAGGCAGCAGUGGGGAAUAUUGCACAAUGGGCGCAAGCCUGAUGCAGCGACGCCGCGUGGGGGAUGAAGGCCUUCGGGUUGUAAACUCCUUUCGCUAGGGACGAAGCUUUUUUGUGACGGUACCUAGAUAAGAAGCACCGGCUAACUACGUGCCAGCAGCCGCGGUAAUACG